This 497-nucleotide ribosomal RNA is filed under the name uncultured bacterium. Its description in RNAcentral is "partial 16S ribosomal RNA". It matches the Rfam family "Bacterial small subunit ribosomal RNA", at positions 28 to 507 of the family's 1533-position model. The record is from RNAcentral.
GAUGAACGCUGGCGGCGUGCCUAAUACAUGCAAGUCGAGCGAACAGAUGAGGAGCUUGCUCCUCUGACGUUAGCGGCGGACGGGUGAGUAACACGUGGAUAACCUACCUAUAAGACUGGGAUAACUUCGGGAAACCGGAGCUAAUACCGGAUAAUAUAUUGAACCGCAUGGUUCAAUAGUGAAAGACGGUUUUGCUGUCACUUAUAGAUGGAUCCGCGCCGCAUUAGCUAGUUGGUAAGGUAACGGCUUACCAAGGCAACGAUGCGUAGCCGACCUGAGAGGGUGAUCGGCCACACUGGAACUGAGACACGGUCCAGACUCCUACGGGAGGCAGCAGUAGGGAAUCUUCCGCAAUGGGCGAAAGCGUGACGGAGCAACGCCGCGUGAGUGAUGCAGGUCUUCGGAUCGUAAAACUCUGUUAUUAGGGAAGAACAAAUGUGUAAGUAACUAUGCACGUCUUGACGGUACCUAAUCAGAAAGCCACGGCUAACUACGUG